AGUGAACGCUGGCGGUAGGCCUAACACAUGCAAGUCGAACGGCAGCACAGUAAGAGCUUGCUCUUACGGGUGGCGAGUGGCGGACGGGUGAGGAAUACAUCGGAAUCUACUUUUUCGUGGGGGAUAACGUAGGGAAACUUACGCUAAUACCGCAUACGACCUACGGGUGAAAGCAGGGGAUCUUCGGACCUUGCGCGAUUGAAUGAGCCGAUGUCGGAUUAGCUAGUUGGCGGGGUAAAGGCCCACCAAGGCGACGAUCCGUAGCUGGUCUGAGAGGAUGAUCAGCCACACUGGAACUGAGACACGGUCCAGACUCCUACGGGAGGCGGCAGUGGGGAAUAUUGGACAAUGGGCGCAAGCCUGAUCCAGCCAUACCGCGUGGGUGAAGAAGGCCUUCGGGUUGUAAAGCCCUUUUGUUGGGAAAGAGAAGCAGCAGGUUAAUACCCCGCUGUUCUGACGGUACCCAAAGAAUAAGCACCGGCUAACUUCGUG
Molecule: ribosomal RNA, 492 nt
Filed under: uncultured bacterium
Lineage: Bacteria
Description: partial 16S ribosomal RNA
Rfam family: Bacterial small subunit ribosomal RNA
Source: RNAcentral